This 450-nucleotide ribosomal RNA is filed under the name Socca senicaudata. Its description in RNAcentral is "Araneus senicaudatus partial 16S large subunit ribosomal RNA". It matches the Rfam family "Bacterial large subunit ribosomal RNA", at positions 1830 to 2601 of the family's 2925-position model. The record is from RNAcentral. Lineage: Eukaryota; Metazoa; Arthropoda; Arachnida; Araneae; Araneidae.
UUCUUUCUGAUAUAUUAUUGCAAGUAACACCUGCUCAAUGAUUAUUUUAAUAGCCGCGGAAAUUUAACUGUGCUAAGGUAGCAUAAUCAUUAGCCUCUUAAUUAGAGGCUUGUAUGAAUGGUGAAACAUUUCGAUUUCUUUCUAAAUUAUUUUACCUGAAUCUUAAUUAAGAAUUAAAAUGUUCUUAUAAAACAAAUAGACGAUAAGACCCUUUUGAACUUUACUUUUGUUUAGCUGGGGCAGCUAAAAAAUAAAAAUCUUUUUUUUUAUUUUAUUUUAAAUGACCCAAUUUAAUUGAUUUAUUGACCAAGUUACCAUAGGGAUAACAGCGUAAUAUUUUUUUAAAGCUCUUAUUUAAAAAAAAGAUUACGACCUCGAUGUUGAAUUAAUGUCACUUUAAAAGUGCAAUAACUUUAAAAGUGGGUCUGUUCGACCCAUAAAACAUUACAU